AUAAUAAUAAUAAUAAUAAUGCCAAUCCUCACCCACUAAGUUGGUUUCGGGUUGUAAUUAGCAGAUCUCUGGAACCAUACUGCCUUAACCAAGCCAAUUUUCCUGCUGUCCUGCUAUUACCCUAGGGCUACUGGAAUCGUGUUUUGAGGUGCUGCCUCAGAUUGUGCAAUGCAGUGAAGUGGAAAUUUUAAAAUGUUCAUCCUAUUCGUUCUGUCAUCUGACGUCUAAGCAGGCUAAAGACUUCUCCAACAUCCCUGCAGCCCACCCCUCUAAUCGACACCACCCCAAACACAAGUACCAGUUCAAAGUACAGUCCUCAGUCUCACCCAGGACUUUCUGUGUUUUGUUGCUUAGAUUUUAUUGCUGAUAUUGUUGUUUUUUCUUUCUUUCUUUUUCUCUAAUAUAAUUUUCCAGAGUUGAUUAGGGAAGCAGAGAACAGUAGCCUAAAUUUGACUGUAAUUUUGGCAGCCACAGGUGAAAAUCUGCCUCAUUCACCCUACACUGUUAAAAUCCAAGCCUGGGUACUACACCUGCUGAGAUGAGCAUGACCCCACAGUUGAAACAAGAUUCAUAAGAUAUCCGGUGGAGGAAGUGUAUUCACUGAAGUUUGACAGCCUGAAAGCAGUGAUUUCACACUGGGAAAAACUGAAACCCCAGGAGACUGGGAAACCCCUGUGGACACUGGGAAAAGGAGAUAAUGGUGAAUGGCAGGAGAAAACAGAAAGCAGCAUUGAAAUGGAGUGACCUGAGGGAAAAGCUUGGAGGAAUAAUUCUCUCCGUGCCAUGUCACCCACCCCAGUUGAACAUGGGAGGAAAGGAGCAGCACUAUCUGUUUGGGAAAGCUCUUUAGCAGUUCUAAAGAAAUGCCCCUCUUUUCUUCAACCAGACCACUCUGGCUUCCUCCUCAUCCUUCCGUCCCCUCCUCAUCCUUCCGUCCCCUCCUCAUCCUUCCUCCUCUCCUCCUCUCUCUCCUCCCCGCUCCCUCCCACGACAAUGUCCUGAAGGUGGUUUGUGAUAUCUAAGACCUUCUCCCCGACAGGGCAACCAUUGGCUAAGUAGUAGCUUGCUGAACUAAUCAAAGCUCAGGGGUCUCGUUCGUCAUUGUCCUGGGAGGGGUAUGUAUGGGGAGACCAGGCAGCCUGGAAUAGACAAUUGAGAGACGCUGGCGAAGAUGACCAGGAAAUGACAAGCCUCCAGCCCAGUUUUGGAACAAUUACCUGCCAUCACCAAAGUGGCGAGGAAGAGGAAAGCCCCCUCUCAACCUAGAUCUAGAAGCCCUAUCAAGAUAAAUGAACCACCUGGGCUCCUCCCUUUCUUGACCCUGACUCUUCUCUCCCAAGACUCCUGCCCUGUCCUCACCUAGCACAACCCUCACCUCAGCCCAUGCCUUUCUCAUGAAGCCCCUGUUCCCACCCCUCCUCCAUCCUCUUUCCCCAAACCAGUGCCCUUCUGAGAUCUCCCUGUUGUUCCAGAUUCCCAAGACAACUAGGAAGGGAAAAGGAACCCUUCAAGGGAGUUCCAGGAAAAAGUCUCUCCCAAAAAGACCACUGCUUCAGGAAAACCUGAGGAAGGGAGUGGACCAACAGUAUCCUGCCAUUGUGACCAGCUGAAUGAAGAACUCCAUCAAAAUGAGCCAUAGCAGGACCAAAACAGUGAGGAGACCUCCACCUUCUUCAGUGUCUCCCUGAGCAGUCAGUAAUUUCAGGGCAAGCUGAGAGGUCUCCAGAGGUCUAACCCCAGAUAAAUAGCCAACAGGGUCUAGAGUACAUUUUACACCCCACGGGGUGUGCCCCUUGGUGAUCAAAAUAAAAUAAACCUGUUGUAAAAUGA
Non-coding RNA from Macaca mulatta (Rhesus monkey), 1830 nucleotides. The record is from RefSeq and is a predicted model, not a curated record. Lineage: Eukaryota; Metazoa; Chordata; Mammalia; Primates; Cercopithecidae.